Molecule: transfer RNA, 50 nt
Filed under: Xylia africana
Lineage: Eukaryota; Viridiplantae; Streptophyta; Magnoliopsida; Fabales; Fabaceae
Description: partial tRNA-Leu
Source: RNAcentral
AAAAUCCGUCGACUUUAGAAAUCGCGAGGGUUCAAGUCCCUCUAUCGCCA